RNAcentral lists this ribosomal RNA (301 nucleotides) under uncultured bacterium. Its description in RNAcentral is "partial 16S ribosomal RNA". It matches the Rfam family "Bacterial small subunit ribosomal RNA", at positions 509 to 807 of the family's 1533-position model. The record is from RNAcentral.
CAGCCGCCGCGGUAAUACGAAGGGUGCAAGCGUUACUCGGAAUUACUGGGCGUAAAGCGUGCGUAGGUGGUGGCUUAAGUCCGUUGUGAAAGCCCUGGGCUCAACCUGGGAAUUGCAGUGGAUACUGGGUCACUAGAGUGUGGUAGAGGGUGGCGGAAUUCCCGGUGUAGCAGUGAAAUGCGUAGAGAUCGGGAGGAACACCCGUGGCGAAGGCGGCCACCUGGGCCAACACUGACACUGAGGCACGAAAGCGUGGGGAGCAAACAGGAUUAGAUACCCCAGUAGUCCCUGUCUCUUAUAC